GAGUUUGAUUAUGGCUCAGGAUGAACGCUAGCGGGAGGCCUAACACAUGCAAGCCGAGCGGGAUUUGUUGGUUAGCUUGCUAACUAACAAUGAGAGCGGCGUACGGGUGCGUAACACGUGUGCAACCUGCCUUUAUCUGGGGGAUAGCCUUUCGAAAGGAAGAUUAAUACCCCAUAAUAUAUUGAUUGGCAUCAGUUAAUAUUGAAAGCUCCGGCGGAUAGAGAUGGGCACGCGUAAGAUUAGCUAGUUGGUGAGGUAACGGCUCACCAAGGCUGCGAUCUUUAGGGGGCCUGAGAGGGUGAUCCCCCACACUGGUACUGAGACACGGACCAGACUCCUACGGGAGGCAGCAGUGAGGAAUAUUGGACAAUGGGUGAGAGCCUGAUCCAGCCAUCCCGCGUGAAGGACUAAGGACCUAUGGUUUGUAAACUUCUUUUAUACAGGGAUAAACCUACUCUCGUGAGGGUA
RNAcentral lists this ribosomal RNA (468 nucleotides) under Bergeyella zoohelcum. RNAcentral's name for it is "bacterial SSU rRNA". It matches the Rfam family "Bacterial small subunit ribosomal RNA", at positions 9 to 470 of the family's 1533-position model. Lineage: Bacteria; Pseudomonadati; Bacteroidota; Flavobacteriia; Flavobacteriales; Weeksellaceae. The record is from RNAcentral.